Molecule: long non-coding RNA, 376 nt
Filed under: Melopsittacus undulatus (budgerigar)
Lineage: Eukaryota; Metazoa; Chordata; Aves; Psittaciformes; Psittaculidae
Description: lncRNA (ENSMUNG00000000370.2)
Source: RNAcentral
CGUCACGUCACGUGCGUGACGGUGUUUACAGCAGCCGGCGGCGGUUGCUUGGCAACCGGGUAGGGCCCGAUCGGGGCUCCAGUCGCGGCUGAGGCUGCGGCCUCUUUGUUCCGGGCCCUUCUCGUCCCUCGUCCGGGGCUCUCCUCAUCCUCGGAGGAGAUGAGGGGCCGGCCGCAGAGGUAUUUGCAAUUGUAGAAUAAAUGGUGAAGCAAGAACCCCUUCCAAAGCAGGCCUUGAGUAUUUUGGACUUGAGUUGCAGCUGAAGUGGAAACUUUUGGAAACCUUGCCAUUAAUGUCAAUGGGAACGAGGUGGGUUGUAUUUAUGGAAUAAAGACAUGAUGUCGGCUGGUAGUGGUGCGAUGUAUGUGAAUAAAAA